AUUGAACGCUGGCGGCAGGCCUAACACAUGCGAGUCGAGCGGAUGAAGGGAGCUUGCUCCUGGAUUCAGCGGCGGACGGGUGAGUAAUGCCUAGGAAUCUGCCUGGUAGUGGGGGAUAACGUCCGGAAACGGGCGCUAAUACCGCAUACGUCCUGAGGGAGAAAGUGGGGAAUCUUCGGACCUCACGCUAUCAGAUGAGCCUAGGUCGGAUUAGCUAGUUGGUGGGGUAAAGGCCUACCAAGGCGACGAUCCGUAACUGGUCUGAGAGGAUGAUCAGUCACACUGGAACUGAGACACGGUCCAGACUCCUACGGGAGGCAGCAGUGGGGAAUAUUGGACAAUGGGCGAAAGCCUGAUCCAGCCAUGCCGCGUGUGUGAAGAAGGUCUUCGGAUUGUAAAGCACUUUAAGUUGGGAGGAAGGGCAGUAAGUUAAUACCUUGCUGUUUUGACGUUACCAACAGAAUAAGCACCGGCUAACUUCGUG
This 484-nucleotide ribosomal RNA is filed under the name uncultured bacterium. RNAcentral describes it as "partial 16S ribosomal RNA". It matches the Rfam family "Bacterial small subunit ribosomal RNA", at positions 30 to 507 of the family's 1533-position model. The record is from RNAcentral.